UGGGGAAUAUUGCACAAUGGGCGCAAGCCUGAUGCAGCAACGCCGCGUGAACGAUGAAGGUCUUUGGAUCGUAAAGUUCUGUUGCAGGGGAAGAUAAUGACGGUACCCUGUGAGGAAGCCCCGGCUAACUACGUGCCAGCAGCCGCGGUAAUACGUAGGGGGCUAGCGUUAUCCGGAUUUACUGGGCGUAAAGGGGGCGUAGGUGGUCUUUCAAGUCGGUGGUUAAAGGCUACGGCUCAACCGUAGUUAGCCUCCGAAACUGGAAGACUUGAGUGCAGGAGAGGGAAGUGGAAUUCCCAGUGUAGCGGUGAAAUGCGUAGAUAUUGGGAGGAACACCAGUAGCGAAGGCGGCUUGCUGGACGGCAACUGACACUGAGGGACGAAAGCGUGGGUAGCAAACAGG
Molecule: ribosomal RNA, 403 nt
Filed under: Verrucomicrobiota bacterium
Lineage: Bacteria; Pseudomonadati; Verrucomicrobiota
Description: Verrucomicrobia bacterium partial 16S ribosomal RNA
Rfam family: Bacterial small subunit ribosomal RNA
Source: RNAcentral